Molecule: ribosomal RNA, 254 nt
Filed under: uncultured bacterium
Lineage: Bacteria
Also listed under: 1 other name
Description: partial 16S ribosomal RNA
Rfam family: Bacterial small subunit ribosomal RNA
Source: RNAcentral
UACGUAGGGUCCAAGCGUUGUCCGGAUUUACUGGGCGUAAAGAGCGCGUAGGCGGUCUGUUAAGUGUAGAGUGAAAUCUCCAGGGCUCAACCCGGAAACUGCUCUGCAUACUGGCAGACUGGAGUGAUGCAGAGGUUUGUGGAAUUCCUGGUGUAACGGUGAAAUGUGUUGAUAUCAGGAGGAACACCCAUGGCGAAGGCAGCAAACUGGGCAUUAACUGACGCUGAGGCGCGAAAGCGUGGGUAGCAAACAGG